GCGAACGAUCCCGUCAACUACAUCUUUUCAUGUUACAGAAGAAUGUUAUAUGAAAAAGCAAGGAAUAAAAAUCUCUCUCAAGUAAUGAACCCACUUUUUAUUAUAUGAUUUCUUCAAUAUGCUCUCUUCUUUUACUAAACCACAUUCUAUUCAUGGAUCUUUGCGAAAGCUUAAUGAUUCUUUCUACAAUUACUCUUUCAGGAUACUUCGUAUUUGCUUCAGUCCCAUCUUGAGGUAGAGACGACUUCAACCAAGCUUGAAUAUAUUUAAAAAUCUCUUAGUUGAUCAAAUUUUGGUAUUUUUGUCUUUGUAAUUAAAUGUAAGUAAGACGUAUUGAUGGUGAUCUAAAUAUAUCAACCAAGCUUGGAUUAUUUUUAUUUUUUGUUCAAGCUUUGGAUUAAUUAAUUAAAGAUUUUUUAGUGUGGGAGUUGAAUCCAAUGGCUAAGAUUCUUUAGCUUGAUUGUUUUAUAUCCCUUCUUAAUUUAAUACGUCCACUCAUCGUCAACGUCGUGUAAGAACCACCGCUGGAUCAAAACCAAAGAAAUACAAACGGAUGAAAGAACCGUCGUUGUAUGUUUUGGCAUAAUUGUAGUUAUUAACUUUGGUUUGUUACGCUUCUUCACAUGAAAAUGUAGUAAUCUUCUGAAAACCAUUUUUCUACCUCGUAAUUAGUCAUACUAUAAUCACUGAUUUAUCCUCAUAAUUUUCCUUCAAAAGAAUGUGAGCAUAAGUGUACAAAGAAUUCGUAUAAUACCAAUAAGUAGCUUAAUAUUAAUUCGGGUCACUACUGAUAAGUAACUCAGGCUGAUGGAUGAGCUGGAAGUGAAGCUGACAUGGCACUGUGUGAAGGUGGCUCAGUUGAUUAACCGUUAGAAUCAGUUAGCCAACAACUGAAUCUUAUGUAACGUACUCAUCUUCUUCAUCUAGGGUUGGCCAUUUUCUAGGAUUGUAUGAAACACUGAGAGAAAUCUCUUGUAAAUGGGCUCAAGGUCAUUAGAAAUACUGAGAUUGUAAUUCCUUCAAAAACAAUAAUAAUACACUGCUUGUGCUCUAUCAUCUACAUAUCAUUUCUUGAGCCUACCGUUACACUCUUUGUAAUUUCCAAAGCUGUCCUCUUGCUUUCUUCACUCGAAACUUUCAGCUGGAACCCUACGGUCUGCAUAGAGAAGAAGUGUUUUGAUUGUUUUAGGUGUCAAUAUUCAAGAUCAUACCUCAAACUGGUGCGACAUUUUUGAGGAGGCACAGAUGCAACUUCGCCAGCCAGUCCAAAGUCAGCAAUCUUGAGGAUAUUGCUGGUCACCAGCAAAUUCUCUCCAGAACAAAAAUAAACUAAAACAAUUGUUUAAGUAAAAGAGAGGCCAUUGAGAAUCAGCAUGAAAAAGUUUACAUACCUGGUUUCAGUUGCCGAUGGAAGUAACUAUUUUUAUGCAUGUGUGCGAGGCCUUGAAGCAUCUGAGCAGGGCCGGCCCUGGGCUAAAGCCCAUAAAGCUAGGGCUUAGGGCGCCACAAAUAAUAGAUAGUUUAUGGGCGCCAAAAUUGAAAACAUUGCUUCUAGUCUAGUGGUCGUAGAGUUCUCCCUAUGUCCUUCACCUCACAGGUUCGAUCUGUACCCUUUCUAAACUUCUAUACUUUUUUUAUAGUAACAGCAUUUUCCUUUUCUGAAGAUAACUACAAAAGAUUUCUUCAUUCAAUGACAUGAAAUGUUUGGUUAUAUGUUCCAACGACCCAUAUGUUAUUAGAUAAAUAAUUUAAUCAACACAACUUAAUUAUAUCUUUUAUUUUUUUAAAACAAUUAUUCUUCUCUGCUUUUUUUUUCUGUUUUGUUAAUUGUUAAACUAGCUUUGUAACUAAAAAAAUAUCAUAAAAGAUAAUAUUAACUUAAAAUAUCAGUUGCUGAUGUUUCACUCUUCCAUUGUGAUUGAAUUUGAAAUAUCUCAAUGGGAAUCUCAAAUAGGUCUUUUCUUUAUUUUAUUUUUCUGCAAGUGUUUGUAAUUUUGUUAGAAACUUUUGAAUUUUAAAAAAAAAUUCUUAACAUCAUAGGGUUUUAUUAUUAUGUGAAAACAAUAAAAUUUGUGAAGUUGAUGUUAGCAUACUUUAUUAUAUGUUCUAUUUAUCUAUAAAUUAUAUUUUUGUUCUUUUUGAAUUUGUAAAAAUGCUGCUAAAAAGAUAUUUAAAAUUAACCAAAUAAUUAAAAAAAGACUUGAAAUUUUUUAUUCAAAAAUAAGGAAAAAACAGACAAUAUAAAUUAAAAAUAAUGUUUUAAUAUUUUUUUUUUAAAUAUCUCUAAUUUUAACACUAUCUAGCAUUAUUUUAAUCAUAUACAUAAAAGCAUAAUAAAUGUAGUUAUAAUAAAGGGGCAACAUUUUUUUGGUCCGCUUUAGGCCGCCGACAAGUCCGGACCGGCACUGCAUCUGAGACAUAAAAGUACUUAUUUCUCCCUCAGAGAAAGGUCGUUGUUCCCUUUCUUGCGUUAUCUGGUACAGAUUGUGGUCCUGAUCAAGGAGAACAUACCAGUAGGUAAGUAACACAUGUUACAAAGGGAAAAGAAAAGCAAAUAUCAUCUCUACUACCAUGCACACAAAGAUGGAAAGGUGGAUUUGGGAAUUCGCCAUGAGUUGAUGAUUCAAUUCAGAAAGAUUUCGUUAGAUAAGGAGAUGCAGAAACGGGCCAUUUCCUCUGGAGGACAGUGACCAUAUAUAUACACCAGACUCUACAUAUAUAGAAGGUGUAGGCUGAAUUAAAUAGCACAUAAUGGGGGAACUUGAUUGCAAACAAUUAUUAAGAUGAUUAACUCAGUUGACUGAAUGGAGAGGAAACAGAGCCAACGGCAGUUACGCAAGUCUGUUCAUACUCGAAACUUGUAUUGUUGCUUAGAGCUUCUUGUCUGGACCUGCAACCAAAUUACAUAAUGGGUCAUUAGUUCACUGGAAAUAAACAGACGUGGCUGGAUUGAUAAUUAUUGGACUGAUAAUUAUUUUUAAGCCGAAAACAACCGUGCCUGACGUGUCAAUUGAAGAAACUUUGAUGAAGCUGAGUUAUCUAAGAGUUUCGGUGCAAAUCUGUCGUCCGAAAGUAGAGGAUUUCGAGAGGCUACACUGGAGGUGUAUAUAUACACUGCAUAGAGCUGGUGAACGAUGAUUUAAUGCUGCAGUGAAGAGGAGAUAGUGGGAUUAGUGGGAUUUGAUGAUCGAAAGGCAUUAAAACUGAACGUUACUUUUCGAUUGCAUAAACCUUCAGACUGCGGCCGAAAAGAGGAAGGAGAAGAAGGGUGAUACCUUGAUGGGCUCAAAUAGACCAUAAUUGCAUAGCUUCCACCAUGAGUAAGAAUAAGAAGUUUGAAGAAUGCUUGCCACGUGUCAUAAAAAGGAGCAGUGUACGCUGACGUAGACACAGGAGGAACUUUUCUGCUCAACUUUGUUAAUAUAGAUAUUUAGCUUUAUCCAUUUUAAUUAUUUAAUAGGGAUUUGUCUUGCAUACGCCCAUGAUUUCUAUUUUGUAUUAUAAUAUACUAUUUUAUAAAUAUAUAUAUAUAUAUAUUAUAUAUAUAUUAUAAUUGAUUAUAAAACAAGUCUGUAUACAUAUUUAAAACUCUUUAUAUUGAUUGUUUUUUGUCUAAAUGUUUUGAAAUGAUAGAAUUCAUAAUUUGUUUUGUGUUCUAUUAUUUUAAUCAUAGAUGUAAUGGCAUGAGUUAUAAAUUAAUUGAACAUUUAAUUUUGAUAUAAAUAAUUUAUUGUUUUGAUUAUUUAAGGUUUUAUUUGAAACAUUUUUAUAUUUACUUUUGAUUUAAAUUUUGUUAUGAGUUUUCAUUUUAUUUGUCAUCCAUCUAAGUAUAAACCAACUUUGACUUGGUUUAUAUCAUAAAUAAAUUUAUCAGUCUAACUAAAUUCAUAGUAUGUGAUUUUAGUUUAGUAUACAUAAAUUAUUUUUUAUAUUUUUUUGACAACGAAACCAAAAUUCUCUAGCUAAAUUGUUAUGUAGAAAAUUAUUAAUAUGAUUUUAAUUACACUGAAAAUUUAAACUUCUUAUUUCUUACCAAACCAAAUAAUAUCAUCCCGAACUAUUUUAUGAUAGAUAAAUUGUUAGCAAAUGGACCAGAAAAACAAAAUGAUAUUGUCCUCCAAGCCAACUUAUGAGGAAACAUCUAUAUACAUAAAGAAGACUUUUCUCUCUUCUCCACCUCAUUAAAUAGGAAAAUCCUGGCACGACACAUGGCAUCUUCAAGUUGUAGUUUCUGUAAAGUUUCACGACAGGGCCUGGGCUAUUCUCUAUCCAAAUUCUGCGAUCAUUAUUUUGGGCUUAUCCAGUUUUGGAAUUUGAGAUAUGUAUGAAGAUUACAUGGCCACAUUUUUUUGUGUCUUCUCCAAAACCCCGAAGAUGAAGCAGUUACGGAGUCACCGCCGGCUAACAGCUACUGUUCUCCCAACCAUCAAUAAUGAUCUGAGUGUUUCACUGUCUGCUAUUAAUUUUGAUAAAGAACAACUUGAAUCAGUCCUUUCUGUUUUGCCGAUUGGAGUUCUUCAACCUGAGAAUGAAUUCCGGCACCAUUACGCUCUCAAUAAUUAGAAUGGCAAACUCUAGUCUGGUACUUGGUGAUUUGAAGGACGGCCAGUUGAAGCUCCACCGUUCACCUGAGAUUCUGGGAGGCUCGAAAUGUAAAGACAGCAGGUGAGUUUAUAGGUAUUAACAUGUAGAGUUUAUAUCUUUCAGUUUCAUAGAAAAGCCGUCUACUUUGGUUGCUCUUACUUUUCACUUCAUCUGUCCGGAACUAAAAAAGACGUGUGUAAUUCAAAGUGAUACAAAGGUGUGAUCACUUCCUUCCAUCUCUCCUUCAUGGUUCUGUUUCUUGAAACUAUAACAACUUUGUUAUUGAGCUGGGAAGAUGUGUGUUCUUUUGUACACGCCGUCAAUGGUUUCGGGCCCUUUUGAAUAAAGCCUAAAUCUUUGCUUAGAUUGUCGAAUCAAUUGAAUGUUUCGUAAAAGCAUUGUAUAAUUGUUGUUGUUAUUUCAGUAACUUUGUCUAAGACAAAGAAGAAAGGAAGGAAGGGAGCACAUGGAUAGUAUUGUUGAUGGAAUCAGAGAGUUUGUCGAGAAAUAUAAUUCUAUAUCUAUGUUUUCUCUUUUGAAAACAUGGGAAAUAUCAAAUACACAGAGUUCAGACAACAAUUUAGACACAAUGAAAGAUCGUUUCUUUGUUAUUUCUUUUGUUACUAUGAGUAGCUGGGUGUUGUUGAAAGUAACUGAGAUUAAUAUAUGUUUCACUUAGUCUUUGAUUUGUAGUUUGGUCUUUCUUAUUGGUUCAGCUUUUUCCUAGGCAAACAAAGUGAUGCAGGUUUCUCUUGGUCGUUCUGCUUCUGAUGAUAUCGGUCCUCCUUAAAGCGUUAUAGAUUGUGUGUUCUGCCUCUUAGAAUAGUGUAUUUAUAUUAGUUGGUCUUUUCUCGCCAAUUGCGCUUUUACAUAUGAUUUGGAAUUUUUUUUUUCCAGUUGCUUCGUGUUGACGUUGGACUUCUUAUUAUGGAUAUGAAAAAGGAAAAGGUUGAAAGGUAUUAUCUUUCUCGAAGCCCUCUUUUUUUUUUCCUUAUCUUGCUUUGGUGAAAAUAACAGUGAAUGGCUUAAACAGUUUCCUUCUCUCUCCUGGCUUUCAUGUAUCUUUGUUGUAACUGUUUCAAAAUACAUCUUCUUAUUAUCGUUAGAGGUCAUUUUACGCUUAUGAAGAUUCUGAAUUUGUAAGGACUGAAAGCACUGCAGUAGAAACGGUUUGUGGUUAAAACUAUUUGUUGUAGGCUGGACAUCAGGGUGGGCAUGAUGGUUGAUGGAAGCUUGGAUGGUUCGACCAAAGAGAUGAUCGGGUGGGCGAUAUGAGUGGGAUGAAGGUUGUAAACCUGAAACAAAUGUAAAAAAAAUGAGAUGCGGUUUAUGAUAUGAAUGAAACAAUAAAAAUGAACAAAGAAAAAGGAUUGAUAUGGCGGAAUCAAGCUGUUGGAUGUGUAUCACUCUCAGCUUGAUCAAAGAAUGAACUUGAAGUGAAUUUGCGGAUGAAGGUUUGAUUGAAUCUCUCAAUCUGAUGGAAUGAUGGAUCGAAUUGAUUGACUCUCUCAAUCUGUGUACUAAGAUUAUUUGAUUUUCACAAAUAAAAUAGACUCACAAAAUCAAUAGAACAACAAAGAUUCUAUCUUUGAAUCCUAAA
This is a long non-coding RNA of Brassica napus (rape), 6184 nucleotides long. RefSeq lists it as uncharacterized. NCBI's taxonomy places the organism in Eukaryota, Viridiplantae, Streptophyta, Magnoliopsida, Brassicales, Brassicaceae. The record is from RefSeq and is a predicted model, not a curated record. The transcript has 2 exons.